Molecule: ribosomal RNA, 60 nt
Filed under: Aspergillus caninus
Lineage: Eukaryota; Fungi; Ascomycota; Eurotiomycetes; Eurotiales; Aspergillaceae
Description: partial 28S ribosomal RNA
Source: RNAcentral
UUGACCUCGGAUCAGGUAGGGAUACCCGCUGAACUUAAGCAUAUCAAUAAGCGAGGGAGA